CGGGGAAGUUCACCAGCACUGGUAUGGAGGCGCUUCAUUACAGCUUCACUCACCCAGAGGGCCGCAGCACAACUUAACAUGGGGGACUGACAUGGACGGCUCGUGCAGGCCCAGACGAUGCUGAGCGCCAGACGGAACACCCGCGUGGCUCACACGCCGACCGGAGCAGAGAGUACUCCGGUCUCCGGGUAUGGGGGGUCCCCGGAAAAUCCUGUCCCCACUGUCGUGAGCCCUGUGAGGCGGGAGUGCGCUGACCUGCCGGUGGACUGGUGGCCGGGGGGGUAGUGUACCAACAUUAAGUGUGAGGCCGACACUGGGAGAGACACGGGAGUGCCCACUCCAUGGGGAACAAAUUGAUGCUGGGGAGGUGCAGGGGGCAGGAAGGCCAGGGAUUUUGUGGUGGGGUCCAGUGGAUAAUCUCAGCCCCUGAGUGCCCACAGUGCCGCGGAGGACCCGGCCGGUGGGCGGGAGCCGAUGUGAGAAGAACGGGCGGAGGCUCGGCGACCUGAGGACUGCACCGUAGCUGAGACAUGUGAGGCCUCCCUCAGACUGCCAUACACCUCCCGCACAAGUUAUACCCAGCCUUGCUUUUUUACUUUUGGUGAAAUCCUUUUUUCUACUUUACUGUAUCUUACCUGCCUUAUAUUUUUAUAUGUAUAUAUUUUUUUUCCAUAUGCUCUGAUACGUACACCCUAUACCUCUGCAUGAGGUCACUGAGCGACACGCACUAUGCAACAAAGACUUUAACAUGUGAUUAUAAUGAUACUGCAGGGUCUGUUUGGCAACCAUUGAUUAAGUUAAGUUAACUGGGUAAAUAGCUACUAGCCAACCUUUACGUCUCUAUCAGAUGAUGCUCAUGCCCUUUGCAUACGUAACAGCAUGAUUGCUGCAUUGCACAAUGGAUAUUUACAUGUCAAGGCCUCAGACAGGAACCAUAUGCGCGCAUAUCAUGCUAUGCACCAGUAUACAUGCUCAGUAUAUUAACUGCACUAUAUGUCGGACCAUGCAGCCUUUAGUUUAAAAGCGACUAGGAAUAUAUUAGAGCGCUCAUUCAUGCAACGGCCCAUACCGUACCACACGUUUAAGCGGAUAUAUGAGCUUAUAUACAAUGCAUACAGUUUUUUUCCUUAUUCGUUUUCUUCAUAUCUCUCAUCAAGGCAUAUUUGUGUUCAAGCCCACAAAGCGCUGCUAUAAGAUACAUAACCAUGAAGCUUAACACCUACGUGAAGCUAGCUUAAAGGAACACUAUAGUCACCUAAAUUACUUUAGCUAAAUAAAGCAGUUUUAGUGUAUAGAUCAUUCCCCUGCAAUUUCACUGCUCAAUUCACUGUCAUUUAGGAGUUAAAUCACUUUGUUUCUGUUUAUGCAGCCCUAGCCACACCUCCCCUGGCUAUGAUUGAC
Pelobates cultripes (western spadefoot toad) is the source of this 1401-nucleotide non-coding RNA. Lineage: Eukaryota; Metazoa; Chordata; Amphibia; Anura; Pelobatidae. The record is from the annotation of a GenBank genome assembly.